UAGUUGUAGGUGGGUGGUGGGUGGCUGUGGUGUUAAGGUCGGUUGUAGGUGGGUGGUCGGAGAAUCGAUGCCGGAGAAUCGAUGUUAAGGUCGGUUGCAGGUUUGUUUUUGGGGAUUAAGGUCGGUUGCAGGUUUGUUUUUGGGGAUUAAGGUCGGUUGCAGGUUUGUUUUUGGGGAUUUUUGGGCGUUUUUGAUUUGUUUGAUUUUGGGGAUUUUUGGGGUUUUUGAUUUUUGGUCAGUGGGUGGCAGGUGGGUGGUCGGAGAAUCAAUGCCGGAUAUGUUUGGUAACUUUUCGUUUGUCUUGCUGUUCAAGUGGAUUGUCUCGUUUCUGUUUUGAAGGAGAGCAAGUCAAAGCAAAUACAUGUUUGCUAUGUCGGCCAGUAACGCAGGUUUGCGAAUGCUGGUAAACAAGGGACCACAGAUGGGGUAAUGGAGGUAUCUAUCAAGAACACGAUUCUUGAAAUAUUGAUCUCGAACACACAUCUGUGUGGACUUGUGAUCUGGUAUAGGCUGGACAUCUACAUCACACUGUUUAAUUUUUAGAUUUUAAAUAAUUUUUUUCCAACUAUUUUCGUGGGUGAAGUGUUAUUGUUUUUUAACA
Long non-coding RNA from Helianthus annuus (common sunflower), 601 nucleotides. RefSeq lists it as uncharacterized. The transcript has 3 exons. Lineage: Eukaryota; Viridiplantae; Streptophyta; Magnoliopsida; Asterales; Asteraceae. The record is from RefSeq and is a predicted model, not a curated record.